UUCGUAGGUGGCUCGCUAAGUCAGACGUGAAAUCCCUCAGCUUAACUGGGGAACUGCGUCUGAGACUGGCAAGCUCGAGUGCAGGAGAGGAACGCGGAAUUCCAGGUGUAGCGGUGAAAUGCGUAGAUAUCUGGAGGAACACCGGUGGCGAAGGCGGCGUUCUGGACUGCAACUGACACUGAUGAACGAAAGCCAGGGGAGCAAACG
This 207-nucleotide ribosomal RNA is filed under the name uncultured bacterium. RNAcentral describes it as "partial 16S ribosomal RNA". It matches the Rfam family "Bacterial small subunit ribosomal RNA", at positions 568 to 774 of the family's 1533-position model. The record is from RNAcentral.